Molecule: ribosomal RNA, 398 nt
Filed under: uncultured bacterium
Lineage: Bacteria
Description: bacterial SSU rRNA
Rfam family: Bacterial small subunit ribosomal RNA
Source: RNAcentral
GAACGAGACCUUCGGGUCUAAUGGCGCACGGGUGCGUAACGCGUGGGAAUCUGCCCUUGGGUUCGGAAUAACAGUUAGAAAUGACUGCUAAUACCGGAUGAUGACGUAAGUCCAAAGAUUUAUCGCCCAAGGAUGAGCCCGCGUAGGAUUAGCUUGUUGGUGAGGUAAAAGCUCACCAAGGCGACGAUCCUUAGCUGGUCUGAGAGGAUGAUCAGCCACACUGGGACUGAGACACGGGCCACACUCCUACGGGAGGCAGCAGUGGGGAAUAUUGGACAAUGGGCGAAAGCCUGAUCCAGCAAUGCCGCGUGAGUGAUGAAGGCCUUAGGGUUGUACAGCUCUUUUACCCGGGGAUGAUAAUGACAGUACCGGGAGAAUAAGCUCCGGCUAAUUCCGGG